This 468-nucleotide ribosomal RNA is filed under the name uncultured bacterium. RNAcentral describes it as "partial 16S ribosomal RNA". It matches the Rfam family "Bacterial small subunit ribosomal RNA", at positions 28 to 507 of the family's 1533-position model. The record is from RNAcentral.
GACGAACGCUGGCGGCGCGCCUAACACAUGCAAGUCGAACGGAGCUGGGAGAAGUUUGCUUUUCUUAGCUUUUUGGCGAACGGGUGAGUAACGCGUGAGUAAUCUGCCCUGGAGGGGGGGACAACAUUUGGAAACGACUGCUAAUACCGCAUAAGCACACGAUCCGGCAUCUGAUUGUGGGAAAUGGAUUUAUUCGCUUACGGAUGGACUCGCGUCCAAUUAGGUAGUUGGUGAGGUAACGGCCCACCAAGGCGAAGAUUGGUAGCCGGACUGAGAGGAUGAACGGGCACACUGGGAGUGAGACACGGACGAGACUCCUACGGGAGGAAGCAGUGGGGGAUAUUGAACAAUGGGGGAAAGCCUGAUGCAGCGAGGCCGCGUGGAGGAAGAAGGUUUGAGGAUUGUAAACUACUGUGGAUAGGGAAGAUAAUGACGGUACCUAACAAGAAAGCAACGGCUAACUACGUG